UGGAAACCAUGCUGGGGCACAUGGCAAGCAACAAGGUUGUUGGUGACAGCCAAAAUAGCUUCACUAAGGGCAAAUCCUGCCUGACCAAUUUGGUGGCCUUCUAUGGUGGGGCUGCAGAACUGAUGGA
This is a long non-coding RNA of Strigops habroptila (Kakapo), 127 nucleotides long. RefSeq lists it as uncharacterized. The transcript is spliced from 3 exons. NCBI's taxonomy places the organism in Eukaryota, Metazoa, Chordata, Aves, Psittaciformes, Psittacidae. The record is from RefSeq and is a predicted model, not a curated record.